Long non-coding RNA from Rhinopithecus roxellana (golden snub-nosed monkey), 1959 nucleotides. RefSeq lists it as uncharacterized. The transcript has 2 exons. The record is from RefSeq and is a predicted model, not a curated record. NCBI's taxonomy places the organism in Eukaryota, Metazoa, Chordata, Mammalia, Primates, Cercopithecidae.
GCGUCUGCUGUCUCACUGACGCACGCUGCUGGCGCAAGUGGCGCCUUGGGACUGGGCCUGAGAAGGCAGGAGUUAUUCAUCCCCCCAAGCUUUCAGGCCCCGGGGAGAAUCUUUCAUUCCUGUCUAUUUGUCUUCUGUAGAAGAGGGAAGAGGGACGACUUUCUCACUAACUACUUCAGGCAUGACAUAGGGGGUGGCGUGGGCACCUCGGAAACAAAAGAAAAAACUUAAUUUGGGGGAUUUUGAGAGACGGGUUGGCAUCCACCGUGCCGUUGUAGCAGGAGCAUGGUUUGGAUCGUCUGGCGGUUUACUGUAGUUUCAACAAGAGUUUUAAUGGCUUUCAUUAUCAGUGGGAUAACACGGGAGAAACAGGAGGACCCCAGUGGUGAAGAUGCCCGUCCCUACCAGCGUUUUACAUCCUCCUAAAUUAGAGAACCGCCCCCUGGAAGGUUUGCCGGGUCCCAUCCCGUCCAGGUUUGGACUGGACCUUGGGCUACUUUUCCGAUGUUUGAGGCGAUUUCUAGAACCGCUUUUCCGUUAUCGUCUGUGUUAAGACAGCAGUUGGAGGUAUUAAACUCACCACAGACCCCACCGUCUUCUGCUAGUAAGUGUCCAGUGCCAGCCUGUGUUGAUAAAUUGCCGCGCGCAUUUGGUUUUGUUGUUGCGCGAGCAUUUCCAGGGCUGAGGCGCUUUGGUUGGUGAUGGUCUCUAGAGCAGUCUGUGGUCUGAUUAUUCUAUUUAGCGUGUAUAUGGAAUGGCCCUGUGAACCAUCCUCUGCCCGGGUGGCAGGACUGUAAUAUUUGAUGAUCCGUUGCGGAGGCCACUCGUCCUCUUGCCGUCUUUGGCUUCCUCCUACCUUUAAGGACUGUUUUUCUCUGGUUGUCAUACACAGGGACUCUGAGGGUGUUGCCCACCUGCUUUGGAAGUAAAAAGAAUCCAGGUUUAAUUGUGCCUAAGAAGCAAGUACCUUGCCAGUGAUAAGGUAGCCAUGAGGAAGCCUGGGUUCCACAUAUCCAAAGAAUCCAUCAGGGGCAGUCCAUUGUAGGCUGGUGUUCAUGGGAUUGUCGCAUAGUGCACUUAGGCAGGGGUGUGCGGCCUAAGGGUUAGUGGUAUUUAUACAGUUCCAGGCCUUUGUUGACAAGACACAAUUGAGAUAGCUUAAGUUAGAAGGAGACCAUGCUCCGAGGGGUAACCGUGGCCACCACUCAGCUGUGGAGGUGUUGACUGUUAGGGUUUGGUGACAGGAGUUUCGCCUACGGCGCAAUGGGUUUUAUCAGUCCACUUGUGGGAUAUUCUCGCCGUCCCACUUACUGGGUUGGUAGGUGUCCAGGACUGCGGGCGUUCCUGAGGAGUGAAAGUGAGGCUGGGGUUUUGAAAUGCUAGUAAUUAAGAGGGAUGUCUGUGCCGUCCCACGGCCACUGUUCACUCGUACGAGCUCCCCCGCACACCCAGCGAUUGGACACAUUCGUGGAAGUGUCCCUGUCUGAUGUAACUGCUAUGUGGUACCCGGAUGUCUCUCUCCAUCCUCAGGGAUAGGUGUCUUCCGGCCAGCCCUCUUCCCGCUUCUGCUGUCUCACUGACAAACGCUACUGGUACAAGUGGCCUUGCACCUUGGGACUGGGCCUGAGAAGGGAGGAGUUACUCAUCCCCCCACACUUUCAGGCCCCGGGGAGAAUCUUUCAAAGCUCAUAAUCCCAGCACUUUGGGAGGCAGAGGAGGGGGAUCAUGAGGCCAAGAGAUUGAGACCGUCCUGGCCAAGAUGGUGAAACCCCGUCUCUACUAAAAAUACAAAAGUUAGCUGGGUGUAGUGGCACACGCCUGUAGUCCCAGCUACCCAGGAAGCUAAGGCAGGAGAAUCGCUUGAACCGGGGAAGCGGAGGCUGCAGUGAGUUGAGAUUGCGCCACUGCACUCCAGCCUGGCAACAGAGCAAGACUCCGUCUCAGAAAACAAAACAACAA